CAGCCGCCACGGUAAUACGAAGGGGGCUAGCGUUGUUCGGAAUUACUGGGCGUAAAGCGCACGUAGGCGGAUAUUUAAGUCAGGGGUGAAAUCCCGCAGCUCAACUGCGGAACUGCCUUUGAUACUGGGUAUCUUGAGUAUGGAAGAGGUUAGUGGAAUUGCGAGUGUAGAGGUGAAAUUCGUAGAUAUUCGCAGGAACACCAGUGGCGAAGGCGGCUAACUGGUCCAUAACUGACGCUGAGGUGCGAAAGCGUGGGGAGCAAACAGGAUUAGAUACCCCAGUAGUCCCUGUCUCUUAUAC
This 301-nucleotide ribosomal RNA is filed under the name uncultured bacterium. Its description in RNAcentral is "partial 16S ribosomal RNA". It matches the Rfam family "Bacterial small subunit ribosomal RNA", at positions 509 to 807 of the family's 1533-position model. The record is from RNAcentral.